RNAcentral lists this ribosomal RNA (253 nucleotides) under uncultured bacterium. Its description in RNAcentral is "partial 16S ribosomal RNA". It matches the Rfam family "Bacterial small subunit ribosomal RNA", at positions 524 to 776 of the family's 1533-position model. The record is from RNAcentral.
UACGUAGGUGGCAAGCGUUGUCCGGAUUUAUUGGGUUUAAAGGGUGCGUAGGCGGUUCAUUAAGUCAGUGGUGAAAUCCGGCAGCUUAACUGUCGAGGUGCCAUUGAUACUGGUGAGCUUGAGUACUGAUGAGGUAGGCGGAAUGGACGGUGUAGCGGUGAAAUGCUUAGAGAUCGUCCAGAACACCGAUAGCGAAGGCAGCUUACUAAGGAGUAACUGACGCUGAGGCACGAAAGUGUGGGGAGCAAACAGG